UGACAAAUGAUUUGUUUACUUGUAUUCAGAGGUGGGUUCCCCUUUUCCACAGAGUGGACGUACUAACCUACCAUCAUACACUAACCCAGCUGAUUCUAAUUAGCACAGGUAGGAGAACUGGUUAGUGGAAUCAGCUUGUUUAGUUGCCUUUUCUUGUUCAAUACUUAAUUCCUGUGUCAUUCCACUUUAUUGCACAUAACUUUUUUAUGGAUUGGUAUAUUAUGAUUUCUUUAGCGGUGUAGCUUUAUUGAGUUAACACCCAUGUCGGGUCUACAUUUCAUGUGAAAACAUUUAUAUGGACAGCAGUAAUCUAAUUAUUG
Molecule: long non-coding RNA, 320 nt
Organism: Ictalurus punctatus (channel catfish)
Lineage: Eukaryota; Metazoa; Chordata; Actinopteri; Siluriformes; Ictaluridae
Source: Ensembl